Molecule: ribosomal RNA, 448 nt
Filed under: uncultured bacterium
Lineage: Bacteria
Description: partial 16S ribosomal RNA
Rfam family: Bacterial small subunit ribosomal RNA
Source: RNAcentral
GUCGAGAAUCUUUCACAAUGGGGGCAACCCUGAUGGAGCGACGCCGCGUGGAGGAUAAGGUCUUCGGAUUGUAAACUCCUGUCAUGCGUGAACAAGGUUGCUUGGUUAAUACCUGGGCAAAUUGAUGGUAACGCAAGAGGAAGAGACGGCUAACUCUGUGCCAGCAGCCGCGGUAAUACAGAGGUCUCAAGCGUUGUUCGGAAUCACUGGGCGUAAAGGGUGCGUAGGUGGCGUGGUAAGUCAGAUGUGAAAGCCCGGGGCUCAACCUCGGAACUGCAUCCGAUACUGCCAUGCUAGAGUACUGGAGAGGUGACUAGAAUUCUCGGUGUAGCAGUGAAAUGCGUAGAUAUCGAGAGGAAUACCAAAGGCGUAGGCAGGUCACUGGACAGUUACAGACACUGAGGCACGAAGGCCAGGGGAGCGAACGGGAUUAGAUACCCCGGUGUCC